UGUCUUUUCAAGUACAGCUUGGGAUUCCCUUCCAUUCCAUCUCAGACCUAAGUUAAAAGCAAUUGUACGUUUGUUGUUAACAUCCAGGGCUGAAUCGACAAUAAAGAAGUACGUAGCUGAAAUUAAGAAAUUUUUGAAAUGGUUCCGAGAUAACAAAAUUGUUCCAAGUUUGCCGUUAUCUACAGCAGUCGUAGCCGUGUAUUUGUCUGACUUAUUGACACAACAACACGAUCCUGCGUCAGGACUAGCGAUAAUGUAUGCCGCCUUGAAGUGGUUCCGCAAGCGUUUAUACCUGC
Molecule: non-coding RNA, 296 nt
Organism: Paramuricea clavata
Lineage: Eukaryota; Metazoa; Cnidaria; Anthozoa; Malacalcyonacea; Plexauridae
Source: the annotation of a GenBank genome assembly